AUCUUGGACAAUGGGCGCAAGCCUGAUCCAGCCAUGCCGCGUGGAUGAUGAAGGCCCUAGGGUUGUAAAAUCCUUUCGUCAGGGACGAUAAUGACGGUACCUGAAGAAGAAGCCCCGGCUAACUUCGUGCCAGCAGCCGCGGUAAUACGAAGGGGGCUAGCGUUGUUCGGAUUUACUGGGCGUAAAGCGCGUGUAGGCGGGCUUGCAAGUUGGGGGUGAAAUCCCGAGGCUCAACCUCGGAACUGCCUCCAAAACUGCAAGCCUGGAGCAAGAUAGAGGCAAGUGGAAUUGCGAGUGUAGAGGUGAAAUUCGUAGAUAUUCGCAGGAACACCAGUGGCGAAGGCGACUUGCUGGAUCUUUGCUGACGCUGAGACGCGAAAGCGUGGGGAGCAAACAGG
Molecule: ribosomal RNA, 398 nt
Filed under: uncultured bacterium
Lineage: Bacteria
Description: bacterial SSU rRNA
Rfam family: Bacterial small subunit ribosomal RNA
Source: RNAcentral